This is a long non-coding RNA of Oncorhynchus keta (chum salmon), 379 nucleotides long. RefSeq lists it as uncharacterized. The record is from RefSeq and is a predicted model, not a curated record. Lineage: Eukaryota; Metazoa; Chordata; Actinopteri; Salmoniformes; Salmonidae. The transcript is spliced from 3 exons.
CACCCUCUUAAGCUUUAGCUCCACCCAUCUCUUUGAGGAUGCACAUGUGAGGCCAUGUGCUAAACAGAGUGAGUAAGGUAGUGUAGUAAACAGAGUGAGUAAGGUAGUGUAGUAAACAGAGUGAGUAAGGUAGUGUAGUAAACAGAGUGAGUAAGGUAGUGUAGUAAACAGAGUGAGUAAGGUAGUGUAGUAAACAGAGUGAGUAAGGUAGUGUAGUAAACAGAGUGAGUAAGGUAGUGUAGUAAACAGAGUGAGUAAGGUAGUGUAGUAAACAGAGUGAGUAAGGUAGUGUAGUAAACAGAGUGAGUAAGGUAGUGUCGUCAACAACCAAAGAUUUCAAGACUAAAAGUGGUGAAAGUACAAGCAAAAAAGUAGUGGU